This 592-nucleotide small RNA is filed under the name Histoplasma capsulatum var. duboisii H88. Its description in RNAcentral is "Histoplasma capsulatum H88 hypothetical RNA". Lineage: Eukaryota; Fungi; Ascomycota; Eurotiomycetes; Onygenales; Ajellomycetaceae. The record is from RNAcentral.
AAUGCGUUUUCAAAAUAUUUCAACAAUGCUGAGUUGAUGUUUGUUAGUCUCAUGAGUGAACUUCUUCCAUCUUUCUUGUUCGAAUUUAUUCUAUCUGCCUUUUCCCUUGCUCUUCCCCCAUCUUCCCCCAUCUUCCCCCUUUUUCAAUGUUUUGAUUUUCAUCGAUACGCGACAAGAGAAAGAUAUUUUAUCUGAGAACGGACACAACAUCUUUCUCGUUUGUGGCUAUUCUGAUUUUUUAUUUGUGAUCAUAUUUUUCUUAAUUGUGUAUGUUUUACAACUGAGGCGUGGAUCAACUUCAGGCGGGCUCCGUUUCUUUUCUAUUGAGUUCCAGAGCAUGCAAUUCCCCAUCAGAUACCCAAAAGCUCCAUCUCUCAAAAGAUACCUGUCUGGAAAAUCCAUGUCCUAGCUCUGACUAUUUCAUCAGACUGGCGAGUUUACCUAGUCCCUUCUGAUCGACUAGACCGGAUUCCCAGUACAUUUCGCGGAUUCCUUUAACUUUUUUAUUUAUAUCCUGGCUUCUGCCGCAACGUGCCCGCGUAGGCGUCUACUAUGCUAUGGCUCUUUCCAGACAUUUCUGUUAUCCCUAAGU